AAAGUCGUAACAAGGUUUCCGUAGGUGAACCUGCGGAAGGAUCAUUACUGUGAGGCUACCCGGGCUUGUCCCGGGUCCGCUUUCCAACACCCUCUGUCUACCAUUCCAGGUUGCUUCGGCGGGCCAGUCGGGCCCUCGCGCCCGCCAUCGGUCACGAACCGGUGAGCGCCCGUCCGAGGACCGCACACAAAAAUCCGGCGUACACGCAGUCAGAGUUGCAUCGUAUAAAAUGAAGCAAAACUUUCAACAACGGAUCUCUUGGUUCCG
This 267-nucleotide unclassified non-coding RNA is filed under the name Ascomycota sp. RNAcentral's name for it is "partial contains small subunit ribosomal RNA, internal transcribed spacer 1, and 5.8S ribosomal RNA". The stretch from base 1 to 47 matches the Rfam family "Eukaryotic small subunit ribosomal RNA", at positions 1785 to 1831 of the family's 1831-position model. The record is from RNAcentral. Lineage: Eukaryota; Fungi; Ascomycota.